This 484-nucleotide ribosomal RNA is filed under the name uncultured bacterium. RNAcentral describes it as "partial 16S ribosomal RNA". It matches the Rfam family "Bacterial small subunit ribosomal RNA", at positions 30 to 507 of the family's 1533-position model. The record is from RNAcentral.
AUUGAACGCUGGCGGCAGGCCUAACACAUGCAAGUCGAGCGGAUGAAGGGAGCUUGCUCCUGGAUUCAGCGGCGGACGGGUGAGUAAUGCCUGGGAAUCUGCCUGGUAGUGGGGGAUAACGUCCGGAAACGGGCGCUAAUACCGCAUACGUCCUGAGGGAGAAAGUGGGGGAUCUUCGGACCUCACGCUAUCAGAUGAGCCUAGGUCGGAUUAGCUAGUUGGUGGGGUAAAGGCCUACCAAGGCGACGAUCCGUAACUGGUCUGGGAGGAUGAUCAGUCACACUGGAACUGAGACACGGUCCAGACUCCUACGGGAGGCAGCAGUGGGGAAUAUUGGACAAUGGGCGAAAGCCUGAUCCAGCCAUGCCGCGUGUGUGAAGAAGGUCUUCGGAUUGUAAAGCACUUUAAGUUGGGAGGAAGGGCAGUAAGUUAAUACCUUGCUGUUUUGACGUUACCAACAGAAUAAGCACCGGCUAACUUCGUG